ACUACGGGAGGCAGCAGUGAGGAAUAUUGGUCAAUGGGCGGAAGCCUGAACCAGCCAAGUAGCGUGCAGGAUGACGGCCCUACGGGUUGUAAACUGCUUUUAUACGGGAAUAACGCGCCUUACGUGUAGGGCUUUGCAUGUACCGUAUGAAUAAGGACCGGCUAAUUCCGUGCCAGCAGCCGCGGUAAUACGGAAGGUCCGGGCGUUAUCCGGAUUUAUUGGGUGUAAAGGGAGCGUAGGCCGCAUGUCAAGCGUGCUGUGAAAUGUCCGGGCUCAACCCGGGCCUUGCAGCGCGAACUGGCGUGCUUGAGUCCGCGGAAAGCAGGCGGAAUUCGUGGUGUAGCGGUGAAAUGCUUAGAUAUGACGAAGAACCCUGAUUGCGAAGGCAGCUUGCUGCAGCGGAACUGACGCUGAUGCUCGAAAGCGCGGGUAUCGAACAGGAUUAGAUACCCGUGUAGUC
This 460-nucleotide ribosomal RNA is filed under the name uncultured bacterium. RNAcentral's name for it is "partial 16S ribosomal RNA". It matches the Rfam family "Bacterial small subunit ribosomal RNA", at positions 338 to 795 of the family's 1533-position model. The record is from RNAcentral.